RNAcentral lists this ribosomal RNA (460 nucleotides) under uncultured bacterium. RNAcentral's name for it is "partial 16S ribosomal RNA". It matches the Rfam family "Bacterial small subunit ribosomal RNA", at positions 338 to 795 of the family's 1533-position model. The record is from RNAcentral.
CCUACGGGAGGCAGCAGUGAGGAAUCUUGCGCAAUGGACGAGAGUCUGAACCAGCCAAGUAGCGUGAACGAUGACUGCCCUAUGGGUUGUAAACUUCUUUUAUAAGGGAAUAAAACGAGGCACGUGUGCCUUUUUGCAUGUCCUUUAUGAAUAAGGAUCGGCUAACUCCGUGCCAGCAGCCGCGGUAAUACGGAGGAUCCGAGCGUUAUCCGGAUUUAUUGGGUUUAAAGGGAGCGUAGAUGGGUUGUUAAGUCAGUUGUGAAAGUUUGCGGCUCAACCGUAAAAGUGCAAUUGAUACUGGCAGUCUUGAGUACAGUUGAGGUAGGUGGAAUUCGUGGUGUAGCGGUGAAAUGCUUAGAUAUCACGAAGAACCCCGAUGGCGAAGGCAGCUUACUAAACUGUGACUGACACUGAGGCUCGAAAGUGUGGGUAGCAAACGGGAUUAGAUACCCCUGUAGUC